CCUACGGGCGGCUGCAGUGAGGAAUAUUGCUCAAUGGGCGAAAGUCUGAACCAGCCAAGCAGCGUGAAGGAUGACUGCCCUCUGGGUUGUAAACUUCUUUUAUAAAGAAGUAAAACGAGGCACGUGUGCCUUUUUGCAUGUACUUUAUGAAUAAGGAUCGGCUAACUCCGUGCCAGCAGCCGCGGUAAUACGGAGGAUCCGAGCGUUAUCCGGAUUUAUUGGGUUUAAAGGGAGCGUAGAUGGGUUGUUAAGUCAGUUGUGAAAGUUUGCGGCUCAACCGUAAAAUUGCAAUUGAUACUGGCAGUCUUGAGUACAGUUGAGGUAGGCGGAAUUCGUGGUGUAGCGGUGAAAUGCUUAGAUAUUACGAAGAACCCCGAUUGCGAAGGCAGCUUACUAAACUGUGACUGACACUGAUGCUCGAAAGUGUGGGUAGCAAACAGGAUUAGAUACCCUAGUAGUC
Molecule: ribosomal RNA, 460 nt
Filed under: uncultured bacterium
Lineage: Bacteria
Description: partial 16S ribosomal RNA
Rfam family: Bacterial small subunit ribosomal RNA
Source: RNAcentral